This 351-nucleotide ribosomal RNA is filed under the name uncultured Levilinea sp. Its description in RNAcentral is "bacterial SSU rRNA". It matches the Rfam family "Bacterial small subunit ribosomal RNA", at positions 1014 to 1382 of the family's 1533-position model. Lineage: Bacteria; Bacillati; Chloroflexota; Anaerolineae; Anaerolineales; Anaerolineaceae. The record is from RNAcentral.
CCCUUCGGGGAGCUUGCACAGGUGCUGCAUGGCUGUCGUCAGCUCGUGUCGUGAGAUGUUCGGUUAAGUCCGCUAACGAGCGCAACCCUCGUCGUGUGUUACAAGUGUCACGCGAGACCGCCGACGUCAAGUCGGAGGAAGGUGGGGAUGAUGUCAAGUCAGCAUGGCCUUUAUAUCCAGGGCUACACACACGCUACAAUGGUCAACACAAUAGGUCGCGAAACCGCGAGGUGGAGCCAAUCCUCAAAGUUGGCCUCAGUUCAGAUUGUAGGCUGCAACUCGCCUGCAUGAAGAUGGAGUUGCUAGUAACCGCAGGUCAGCACUACUGCGGUGAAUACGUUCCCGGGGUUU